CUACGGGAGGCAGCAGUAGGGAAUAUUGGACAAUGGGCGAAAGCCUGAUCCAGCCAUGCCGCGUGAGUGAUGAAGGCCUUAGGGUUGUAAAGCUCUUUCGGCGGGGACGAUAAUGACGGUACCUGGAUAAGAAGCCCCGGCUAACUUCGUGCCAGCAGCCGCGGUAAUACGAAGGGGGCUAGCGUUGUUCGGAAUCACUGGGCGUAAAGCGCACGUAGGCGGAUCUUUAAGUCAGGGGUGAAAUCCCGGGGCUCAACCUCGGAACUGCCUUUGAUACUGGGGAUCUCGAGUUCGGGAGAGGUGAGUGGAACUGCGAGUGUAGAGGUGAAAUUCGUAGAUAUUAGGAAGAACACCAGUGGCGAAGGCGGCUCACUGGUCCGGUACUGACGCUGAGGUGCGAAAGCGUGGGGAGCAAACAGGAUUAGAUACCCGGGUAGUCC
Molecule: ribosomal RNA, 440 nt
Filed under: uncultured bacterium
Lineage: Bacteria
Description: bacterial SSU rRNA
Rfam family: Bacterial small subunit ribosomal RNA
Source: RNAcentral